This 442-nucleotide ribosomal RNA is filed under the name uncultured bacterium. RNAcentral's name for it is "partial 16S ribosomal RNA". It matches the Rfam family "Bacterial small subunit ribosomal RNA", at positions 339 to 795 of the family's 1533-position model. The record is from RNAcentral.
CUACGGGCCGCUCCAGUGGGGAAUAUUGGACAAUGGAGGAAACUCUGAUCCAGCAAUUCCGCGUGGAUGAAGAAGGCUUUCGGGUUGUAAAGUCCUUUCAGCAGGGAAGAAGCAAGUGACGGUACCUGCAGAAGAAGCACCGGCUAAUUACGUGCCAGCAGCCGCGGUAAGACGUAAGGUGCAAGCGUUAUCCGGAUUUACUGGGCUUAAAGGGCAUCUAGGCGGCUAAAUAAGUCAGAGGUGAAAAGUCUGGGCUCAACCGAGGCCUUGCCUUUGAAACUGUUUAGCUAGAGUACGGGAGAGGAGGGCGGAACUACAAGUGUAGCGGUGAAAUGCGUAGAUAUUUGUAGGAAUGCCGAUGACGAAGGUAGCUCUCUGGACCGCUACUGACGCUGAAGUGCGAAAGCUAGGGGAGCGAACAGGAUUAGAUACCCGAGUAGUC